This 406-nucleotide ribosomal RNA is filed under the name uncultured bacterium. Its description in RNAcentral is "partial 16S ribosomal RNA". It matches the Rfam family "Bacterial small subunit ribosomal RNA", at positions 30 to 527 of the family's 1533-position model. The record is from RNAcentral.
AUUGAACGCUGGCGGCAGGCCUAACACAUGCAAGUCGAGCGAGCGGCGGACGGGUGAGUAAUGUCUGGGGAUCUGCCUGAUGGCGGGGGAUAACUACUGGACACGGUAUCUAAUACCGCAUACCAUCAGAUGUACCCAGAUGGGAUUAGCUUGUAGGUGAGGUAACGGCUCACCUAGGCGACGAUCCCUAGCUGGUCUGAGAGGAUGAUCAGCCACACUGGGACUGAGACACGGCUCAGACUCCUACGGGAGGCAGCAGUGGGGAAUAUUGCACAAUGGGCGCAAGCCUGAUGCAGCCAUGCCGCGUGUAUGAAGAAGGCCUUCGGGUUGUAAAGUACUUUCAGCCGGGAGGCGUUACCCAAAGAAGAAGCACCGGCUAACUCCGUGCCAGCAGCCGCGGUAAUUG